UACAUGGGGGUGCAAACGUUGCUCGGAAUUAUUGGGCGUAAAGCGCACGUAGGCGGUUUGUUAAGUCGGAUGUGAAAUCCCUCGGCUCAACUGAGGAAGUGCAUCCGAAAACUGGCAGGCUUGAGUACUAAAGAGGGUCGCGGAAUUCCCGGUGUAGAGGUGAAAUUCGUAGAUAUCGGGAGGAACACCGGUGGCGAAGGCGGCGACCUGGGUAGAUACUGACGCUGAGGUGCGAAAGCGUGGGGAGCAAACAGG
Molecule: ribosomal RNA, 255 nt
Filed under: uncultured bacterium
Lineage: Bacteria
Description: partial 16S ribosomal RNA
Rfam family: Bacterial small subunit ribosomal RNA
Source: RNAcentral